GCUCCUCUGUCCAGGGGAUUCUCCAGGCAAGUGUACUGGAGUGGGUUGCCAUGCCCUUCUCCAGGGCAUCUUCCCCACCCAGGGAUUUUGCCCUGCAAAUCCAACUGUGCUGAGAGCCUACACCCCUCUGCUCUUCUAUACUCUUCUGGGCAGCCCCUCGAGAAGGUUGCUAUCCCCAUCUUGCUGAUGAGGAAAACUGAGGCUUCAAAGCAGCAGGGGUUUUGCCUAAGAUCACUGCGGGUGACACAAGGGUCUACCGGACUCAAGGCCCCAAGCUCUUUGUCUCGCACCAAUGCUGUCAUUAUUCCUUUGGGCUGAUGGUUGAGGGCACAAACUCAGGGAACCAAGCCAUUUGGAACACAUCCCACUCUCCCUGUGUGACCUUGGGCAAGUUGCUCAGCGUCUCUGGGCCUCAGCUGCCUCACCUGUAAAAUGAGAAGGAAAUGUGUUCAUGCACGUCAGCCUCUCAGAGCAGCCCUCCUCCUGUGUUACUAAGUAUAGAUAUCAUUUAUUCUCUGUAUCUGAUUGCACCGUGGGUGGUCGUGACUGUAUCUAUCUCCCCCAUUAGACUGGAACUUCUGGAGGGCAGGGGUGAAAAUAACUUACAGCUGCAUGGUAGACACCACCCCACUCCCAGCCCACCUCUCUCGCCCACCACACCCUGCCCCCACCCUCCAACUCAGGCCCAUUUAGAAGGAGAUCUCUGUGUUUGCAGAAUGAUACAGAAAGGAAUUAGAGCUGUCUCCUUUGGCUCUGGGGUCUUAGAAAGCCAGGGAAGAGAGAGUCAGGCCAAAAGAACAGUGGCUGGGGUGCUGACUCCCUGCCCUGGGCCUUGAGGCCGCCCCUGGUUCCCAGAACCCCGACAAGCAUCUCCUUGUCUUCCUGGGACUCCUGGUUCUGGGCGCCUUGUCCUGCCCUGUUCCCCACAGCUCUGCACACAGCUCUUGGCGAGAGUGGCCAGGGCACUGGAGAGAGACUUUUGGAUGGACGGAAGUGCUUUGCAUUCUAACGAUUAUCCCUGUCUUCCCUGGAGACUUCUAGAACUUUCAGAUUGAAAGGCAUCCGAGAGGCCAUCUUGUUCAAACCCGUGCCUCCAGUUGCCUUACUCAAAUCUUCCUGUUCUCCUGCCAAGGCCAGAAACUCCUAAAGGGCCAGGGCAUGUCUUUACUGGUUUUGCUUCCCUGGAACCUAAUGUGGUGGUAUCUCAGAUGAGAAUUCUCUGGAUGAAGAUCCUGAGACAGGCAGUCAUGUGCACAUGGUCACAAAAACGCUGAGCGGAGAGGAAAAUGACACGAAGCAGUGCCGGAUCCUGAAACCCUGAACGGCUGAAACACUUCCCAGCUCUCCCUGGGACUGGGCGGUUACUGGCAUUUUAAGAGCCGGAGGGAAGUUGUAACCACCGUGGGGGUAACACACACGUGAAAAAAUGUGAGGCCAGACAGGCCGGGCAAAUAAAUAACCCGGUGCCGGCAAUGGGAGGCGUGCCUGGAGUUUUAGCGCAGGGUUGUAAAAGUUGACAGGAGCCGUUUGGACUGGAAAGGGCCGUGUGGGUAUCGCUGCCAGGCUUUGCCAAGCUCCCCGGCUGUUGAAUACUCCAAAACCGAAUAGAUAAAAAAGAAAACAACAGCCACAAAAGGAAAAAAAAAAAAAAAUCGCAACACGAAACCACCCACGCAGCGUCCACCCACUCCUUCCCCUCCCGGAGCCUGUUGUGCGCCUGUGAUAACAUUGCGUGCUGCGAGCUCUCCUUUAUUUAGAUAAGGUGUCCGCGGCCGCUGCUCUUGGCCGCCAGCCAGCUUUCUGUCUCCCACUUGGGGCUUUAGCGCCACACAGGAGACGCGACUCUCUGAUGCUGCCGGCCCGAGUGUCAGCCUCACCCGGAGGGUCCCCGCGGCUUUGUGUUCCCAGAACGAUGAUUUGUUUGACAACGGGCUUUCCUUCCAGACUGUUCUUCCAGCCUGGCACAACGCGUGGGUCCUCAGACACAGACGGGGCCGUAGAGAGGCGGAGCCGGCACCUCUGGCCACGGGGUCGGGCGGUUGCUUGAUGGUGAAAGGCCACGUAAAGGAGACCCAGACACGGUCGAAGGCCAGAAGGAUCUUUGGUUUACAUGGACUAACUGAAGCGUUUAUGCUCCUCAGGCCUGAAAAACAAAUAAACCAUGAGAUGAACCUUGAACCCACCUUCCUGGAUAACAGAUUUCAAAGAUGUAUGUCGUGCAGAUAAGAAGUACAGAAAGUAGUUGUUCUUCAGAAGCCACGAGUGCCUGUCACUUCCAAAAUAACUGUUUUCGCGUAUCUGGGUCCUCCCCAUGAGUCCAGAGAGAGAAAAUGUGCUUCUGAACAGCCUGGACAAAUCAGGAAACGGGCAUGUAUCUGGAGAACGUGCCAGUGAUUCCACUAACGAGGUCCAAAGUGGAACUGGUGCUCUGGAUUCUGUGGACGUGAAGCUAUGGGGCUGAGUAACAGCUGGUUGCUGGCAAGCCACGGACAGAAGGGGACUGAGCUGGAGGCUGCAGAGGACCACGUCUGCCGCAGCGGAUGGCUCAGGCAGUGGACGUUUUGUGGUCCGGCUUGGUUUGUCCUAGUUAAUAAGCGAGGCUGAGUUCAUCUGAGGCUUAUCCUGGGCUGGCCAGUGCCCUGGCGGGCAGCACAAUGAAGCUUAAUGACCAGCACUGCAGGACCGAGGCUGAGCCCCAAACAAGCCAUGAGCGUUAGGCCCCCUGCAAGUCGACAGCUGUGAUGGCUGCUGGUUACCAGGACGCAGGGCCUGAGUGGAGGAGGAAAUCAUGAUGGAGAAAUAAGACCAGAAUUCUCCUCCGCGGGCCUGGGAGAAUGGAGCAAAUCGAAAACACUGGGCUGGGCUAGGGUCAGACCAGGUUCCAGACACACAGCCGGGGGCCUGAAGAACAGGGAGGGGGCAACCAGGCCCAGAGGAAAAGAGGGAUUUAAGCUCCUUAAGGGAGGGGGAGGAUGUGACAGACAUGGAGGAGCAGAGCCCCCUCUAGGAAGGAUUUGCUGCCCAUUCAGGCUCGGCCACAGCAGCUGAGAACACCUCACCCAGAGGCCCCUCUCCUGGGAGACCCCCAUCUGGUGGCUGAGCUGGUGUGGGGUGGGGCCAUUAUAAAGUGUUAGUUGCUCAGUUGUGUCCAACUCUUUGAGAGCCCCCCUGGACUGUAGCUCACCAGGCUCCUCUGUCCAUGGAAUUUUCCAGGCAAAAAUACUGGAGUGAGUUGCCAUUUCCUUCUCCAGGGGAUCUUUCCUACCCAGGGAUUAAACCCGGGUCUCCUGCAUUGCAGGCAGAUUUUUCUUUUUUUAACCCGCUGAGCCACCAGGAAAGCCUUUAUAAAGACCUGGCCAUUUUGGCUCCAGGCAGGACACUGUCCUGGACAUGCCUCAUGCCCCAGCUCUCUCCUCCAGGUUGGCUGAGUCUGUCAGGCUUGCAUUUCAACUCGACUCCCUGCUCUGUCCAGUCCUGCUCCCCUCCACCCCCUUCCUUUCAGAGGGCUUGAUCCCUCCCAAACACGCCUCUGCCCCCAACUCCAUCUCAGCAUCCGCUUCCGGGGAACCCAGCCUGUGACAGAGGGUCACCUAUACCUUGGAUCAUGGGUUCCAUCCUAGGGACCAGUAGGACUCCAGAUGGCAUUUUAUUCUGGGGCUUUGUCCCCUUUCCUUUAAACGGUUUCCAAAGUUUCCUCCGCUGACUGGGUUUUCUCUCCACUUGCUUUCAGAGAUUAUCCCAAACACAAUCGACUCCUUCGUUAGGGCAACUCCCCCACUGGUCCUCUGCAUGAAUGUUUUUUCACUCCCUCUCACCCUGCCCUCUGCCCUUCCGCCUCAGACACCCUGCCCCCAACCCGAGUCCAGCCCAGUCCCAUAAAGGACUCCUCUGCCCACUCCUGUCUGCUCUCUUCUUGGGCUGGUUCCUGAUGGUUGUGGCUCUCUGCCAGGGUCAGUCAUAAGGUGUCCCUCGGCACACAAAACCCCAUCCUCUGCCAGACACCGGGCCUUUAUUGUUGGCGUGGGGACAAGCCAAAUCACUUGGCAAGGUCCACACCGGCCCUGAGUCACCGUCUCAUCACUGUGGCCAUCGCUGCUGCCUCUGUCUCCCCUCCUGGGCUCUCAGUCCUGGUGGUGUUUGCUGCCCGCUUCCCCUGGCACAGACGGGGCCAGCCUAGGAACCCCAGAUGUCACCUCUUGAGGGCCCCUGGGAGGCCCAGCUCAUCAGCCGGCAACUUCUCUGACCUUCUUGGCAGCCAACAGCAGAAGCCUAAUUAGUGGCUCAGGAUCUCCUCCCUCGCCCCCCUUUGCCUCCCCCCUUUCCCGGCGGCUCCUUUCCUCCACCAGGAGAGGGGUGGGGCUCACCUUUCCCUCCAGUCGAAGGUCACUGAGACUGGGUUUUUUUUUAGACAUUGCACUGCAAGGGUGUGAGAGGAGAUUUCCAGACUGUGCCCCCAGCUCCCACCCCUAGUCACAGCCAGUUGGAUUGAAUUCGCCAUGGAUUUAUUGUACACUGUUCGGUGGCGGUGGGUGCCACUGGCUAGCAGGAAGUGAUCCCCAUUGUUAGAGAACUUAGGGAUGGGAAGGCACUGCCAAAGUAUGGAGUGACCUGUUUCAAGGCUCGCUAGUCACCCAGGGGCACAAGAGGGUCAAACUGAGGGCCAGGGGACAGGCUGGCCCAGGCCACCGGCAGACCUCUGGGGGACCCAGGGGGAUCUCCCCUCACCCAGACCUGAGACAGACUCCUGAAUGCUUCUCUCUGCUUCAUUUACACAAACAAUCAAAAAGCCAACCCAGCCCAAAUAAAAUGCCCACAUUUUAUGGCUUGCAGUGUUUUAGUUCUAAUUUGGCUUCAUUUGGAAAAGAGGUUUUACUAAGUGGCAUAAAUUGAGCCUAACAAAUUUUAAAACUAAAACAGCAGCACCCUAAAUGUUUAAAACUGUAAUUGGAGAGAGAUAAAAAGUGAGUUGUCGGGGAGGGGUGGUGAGAGAGGCAGAAGAAGGGGGAGGGGAAGAAAUUCAAUUUCCGUUCUACUUGGCAGGAGGUUAAUUUCCUGCUCCCCCUCCCCCUGGGCCCCAGCCCUGUCCCCUCCCCCACUUAGAGAAUGCACCCAGAAGGUUCCAGAAGCAAUGCCAGUGCCCUGCCGGAUGUCUUGUAUGCAGUGGGUGCUUAGGAAAGACUGGGUGAACUCACUCUUUUCUCUGAUGUGUCUGUGGACAAUGGGACAAUGGGGACUCCUUUCAGGGGACCCCUUUGCCCCCACAGAAGGGGGUCUGCAAGUUCCUUCCAGGGUGGGAUGGGGGCGGGGUGG
Long non-coding RNA from Bubalus bubalis (water buffalo), 5310 nucleotides. RefSeq lists it as uncharacterized. The transcript is spliced from 6 exons. The record is from RefSeq and is a predicted model, not a curated record. Lineage: Eukaryota; Metazoa; Chordata; Mammalia; Artiodactyla; Bovidae.